GUGGAUUAGAUACCCUGGUAGUCCACGCCGUAAACGUUGGGCACUAGGUGUGGGGGAUUAUCAACGUCCUCCGUGCCGUAGCUAACGCAUUAAGUGCCCCGCCUGGGGAGUACGGCCGCAAGGCUAAAACUCAAAGGAAUUGACGGGGGCCCGCACAAGCGGCGGAGCAUGUUGCUUAAUUCGAUGCAACGCGAAGAACCUUACCUGGGUUUGACAUGUGGGGAAAAGCCGUAGAGAUACGGUGUCCUUCGGGGUCCCACACAGGUGGUGCAUGGCCGUCGCCAGCU
RNAcentral lists this ribosomal RNA (287 nucleotides) under uncultured bacterium. RNAcentral describes it as "partial 16S ribosomal RNA". It matches the Rfam family "Bacterial small subunit ribosomal RNA", at positions 773 to 1060 of the family's 1533-position model. The record is from RNAcentral.